RNAcentral lists this unclassified non-coding RNA (1040 nucleotides) under Hevea brasiliensis (rubber tree). The record is from RNAcentral. Lineage: Eukaryota; Viridiplantae; Streptophyta; Magnoliopsida; Malpighiales; Euphorbiaceae.
CAUUGGUGCAUAUAUAUGAUGCAAGAGCUGGUACAAAUGAUCCUAUAAUAUCUAAAGAGGUACAGUUGUGCCCCAUCAAAGUCAUGAAAUACAAUCAUGUCUUUGAUACUGUGAUAUCAGCAGAUGACAAAGGGAUCAUUGAGUACUGGAGUCCUGCCACACUUAAGUUCCCAGAGAAUCUGGUGAAUUUUAGAUUGAAGAGUGAUACUGAUCUCUUUGAAAUUGUGAAAUGCAAAACUGCUGUUUCUUCUAUAGAGGUAAGCCCUGAUGGUAAACAGUUCUCGGUAACUUCACCAGAUCGCAGGAUUCGUAUAUUUUGGUUCAAGACAGGUAAACUAAGACGUGUGUAUGAUGAAUCUCUUGAGGUGGCACAAGAUCUCCAGAGGAGUGAUGUUCCUUUAUACCGACUUGAAGCUAUUGACUUUGGACGAAGAAUGGCUGUGGAAAAAGAAAUUGAGAAAACAGAAUGUGUACCACAACCUAAUGCUGUUUUUGAUGAAAGUUCCAAUUUCAUUAUAUAUGCAACUCUCCUAGGAAUUAAAAUUAUAAAUCUACACACUAACAAGGUAUCUCGUAUCCUGGGGAAGGUGGAGAGCAAUGAUAGAUUUUUGAGAAUUGCUUUGUAUCAAGGUGAUAGAAGUAGUAAAAAAGUAAGAAAAAUCCCUGCUGCGGCAGCAAAUGCAAAUGAAAGCAAGGAGCCCUUGAUAGAUCCCAAUCUACUUUGCUGUGCUUUCAAGAAACAUAGAAUCUAUUUGUUCAGUCAGAGAGAACCUGAGGAACCUGAUGAUCCUACCAAGGGAAGAGAUGUCUUCAAUGAAAAGCCACCUCCUGAUGAACUUUUGGCCGUAUCUGACAUUGGGAAGUCCGUUACUACAUCCCUUCCAGAUAAUGUGAUCAUGCAUACCAGUAUGGGUGACAUUCAUAUGAAGCUAUACCCUGAAGAGUGUCCAAAAACAGUGGAGAACUUUACAACACACUGCAGGAAUGGAUACUAUGAUAAUUUGAUAUUUCAUCGGGUCAUCAGAGGCUUUAUGGUUCAG